Molecule: ribosomal RNA, 496 nt
Filed under: uncultured bacterium
Lineage: Bacteria
Description: partial 16S ribosomal RNA
Rfam family: Bacterial small subunit ribosomal RNA
Source: RNAcentral
AUGAACGCUGGCGGCGUGCCUAAUACAUGCAAGUCGAGCGAACAGACGAGGAGCUUGCUCCUCUGACGUUAGCGGCGGACGGGUGAGUAACACGUGGAUAACCUACCUAUAAGACUGGGAUAACUUCGGGAAACCGGAGCUAAUACCGGAUAAUAUAUUGAACCGCAUGGUUCAAUAGUGAAAUACGGUUUUGCUGUCACUUAUAGAUGGAUCCGCGCCGCAUUAGCUAGUUGGUAAGGUAACGGCUUACCAAGGCAACGAUGCGUAGCCGACCUGAGAGGGUGAUCGGCCACACUGGAACUGAGACACGGUCCAGACUCCUACGGGAGGCAGCAGUAGGGAAUCUUCCGCAAUGGGCGAAAGCCUGACGGAGCAACGCCGCGUGAGUGAUGAAGGUCUUCGGAUCGUAAAACUCUGUUAUUAGGGAAGAACAAAUGUGUAAGUAACUAUGCACGUCUUGACGGUACCUAAUCAGAAAGCCACGGCUAACUACGUG